UCUGGUCCUUGUGUGCCCGCCGCCGCGGUAAUACGGCCGGUCCGGGCGUUAUCCGGAUUUAUUGGGUUUAAAGGGAGCGUAGGCCGGAGAUUAAGCGUGUUGUGAAAUGUAGAUGCUCAACAUCUGCACUGCAGCGCGAACUGGUUUCCUUGAGUACGCACAAAGUGGGCGGAAUUCGUGGUGUAGCGGUGAAAUGCUUAGAUAUCACGAAGAACUCCGAUUGCGAAGGCAGCUCACUGGAGCGCAACUGACGCUGAAGCUCGAAAGUGCGGGUAUCGAACAGG
Molecule: ribosomal RNA, 284 nt
Filed under: Segatella copri DSM 18205
Lineage: Bacteria; Pseudomonadati; Bacteroidota; Bacteroidia; Bacteroidales; Prevotellaceae
Description: Prevotella copri DSM 18205 partial 16S ribosomal RNA
Rfam family: Bacterial small subunit ribosomal RNA
Source: RNAcentral